AAAUUGAAGAGUUUGAUCAUGGCUCAGAUUGAACGCUGGCGGCAGGCCUAACACAUGCAAGUCGAACGGUAACAGGAAGCAGCUUGCUGCUUUGCUGACGAGUGGCGGACGGGUGAGUAAUGUCUGGGAAACUGCCUGAUGGAGGGGGAUAACUACUGGAAACGGUGGCUAAUACCGCAUAACGUCGCGAGACCAAAGAGGGGGACCUUCGGGCCUCUUGCCAUCAGAUGUGCCCAGAUGGGAUUAGC
This 248-nucleotide ribosomal RNA is filed under the name Salmonella enterica. RNAcentral describes it as "partial 16S ribosomal RNA". It matches the Rfam family "Bacterial small subunit ribosomal RNA", at positions 1 to 245 of the family's 1533-position model. The record is from RNAcentral. Lineage: Bacteria; Pseudomonadati; Pseudomonadota; Gammaproteobacteria; Enterobacterales; Enterobacteriaceae.